CGCCCCGGUGACUCACGGCCCCGGACGGUGACGCGCGGCCGUCGAAACCCCCGCGGGGAUGGCAAACCCAGCUUGGGGGGCCCCCAGCCUCCAUUUUAUGAAGGCCACGAGACGAGGAGAUGAUGAGACGAGGACCCCCCCCCAUGGGGAAACUGAGGCUGGGGGCUGCCUCCCCUCCAAGCCCGGCUCUCCCGAGUCCCAAACCCGCCCCGGCCCCCCCCCGAAACGCCUCCGUGCCCCCCCCCGCCGCGCCGUGUGCGCUUGGGGGAGCAGCGGGCGCUGAUCGCUGCUGACAGCGGCGCCGCGCUCGCCGGCGGUUUCGGAGGGGCCGCGGGGCCUGAUCCUUUCCGCUCCCCUCGCGCCAUGAUCAUCCGGCCCCGACGCCUCACCCCGGGGUAUUUCCGCCUGCUCCAGAUGCAGCUGGCGGCGGGGCAGGGAGCUGAGCCCAAGGACCGGGCGCUGCCCCCCCUGGCCCUGCUGCUGGCAGCCGCCGGGCUCUGCCUCUCCCUCUACAGCGCCCGGAGGAUGGCCAGCCCCGCCAAGGCCCCCCCCGAGCCCUGAGCUGGGGCCAUGGGGACGGUCCCCAGGUCCCCAGCCAGGCCCCGGCUUCCCCCCCUGCCCGAGGGGAGCUGCUGGAUGCGGCCCCCACCUCGCAGCCCUGCCACGUCCUGCGCUGCCCCUCCACGCCUCGGCCGCAUGAUGCCAAGGAGCUGAGGGACACUCGCGCCUCUGCCUGCUUUGGGAAAUGGAGAAAUCGACUUGAGACCCCAAAAAGACGCAGCCAACAGGUUCCAGGGCCACCAGCGCAGCCCCGGGACUCACUGCCAUGACGUUGAGUCCCGACCAGGCAGCAGGAUGCGGCCACUACGAGACCGGAGGCUGAGCGGACGGACAGACCCCCCUGUUAGAGGGGUUUGGGGUUCCUCACACCCUGCUCUUCCCUGACCCUACCGGCGGCACGGGGACGCGCUGUGCCUGCCGCCAGCCCUGCCACGGCCGGGGGAAAGGAGGUCAGCGCUGAGCGGCGUUAGGUAACGCGGCAGGGAGGGCUGGGACCGGGAUCAGCCUCCGAAAUGAGGGGACACGGGGCCAGCUCCUGCCUGGGCCUCGAGGUAAAGAGCACGGUUCAGGCAAUGCUUCCCCAAGGACGGGCACAUCCCCCUGGGACCAGCGGCCACAGCUUUCCCCUUCCCCGUGCCCGCCGACCCCACGCGGAGCUGGGCACGGAGCUGCGCCCAGCAGAGGGCUGGCUGCUGACAGACGGCUGGCUGCAGUCGCCCUGGUCUCCCCGGGCAGGGGGGGACAAAUCCGGGCAGCUUGCAUGGAAAUAAAUCCUUUCCUUCUGAGCAAAGCCGCGCUGUCGUCAUGCUGCCUCCCUGCUGCUCGGCAGGAAGGACAGAGCCCCAGGAGCUGGUUUAGCUGCGUCGGCUGAGCCCGCUCUGCGGGAACUCGCAGCGGUGGCACCCGGGGCCACGCGGCAGCACGGGGUCACAUCACCCCUGGGAUCAGCUGCAGCAGGCUGGGGGACGCAGCGAGGGGGCUGGAUCGUGCCAUACACACGGCCCCAGCCCUCUAGGAGCAUGAAAUCACCUCCGUGCAGUGAGUUUUAGGGCAUCGAACUCAGUGGUAUUGUUUUCAGAAGCC
Long non-coding RNA from Cygnus olor (mute swan), 1644 nucleotides. RefSeq lists it as uncharacterized. Lineage: Eukaryota; Metazoa; Chordata; Aves; Anseriformes; Anatidae. The transcript has 3 exons. The record is from RefSeq and is a predicted model, not a curated record.